UUUAAUUAUAUUGUAGACUUUAUUUGUUGGAUAGAACGAUUAUCCAUAUAACGUAGCUAUCGUCCACGUUGGUCUCAAGUUACUGGAACAUUUUUUAUGGUUUUCAAUUGAUGUGUCAUGCUAUGUAUGUGCUUUUUUGACAAUUUUAGCAAGAGAAGAACUCAUAACUGAACAUGCUCUUGCGUGGAAUAAACGGAAAAUAUGUGAUCUGUCCAGCUCCCUCUGCAAGAGAUAUGCAAAGUAUAUAGAAGCUCAAGAAAAUACAAGGAAAGAACUUGAUGAAAUGGUUUCUGGCGUAAAUCUCUCCGAACCACGUUGAUUUCUUGCAGUGGAAGAGUGAAGUUCAACGUAUUGCAAAAGAAAUGGAAAGCUCCUUCUUCACGUAUUUAGCCGAAGAAGAGGAAUUGUACGUUUUGACCUCCUCUUUAACCGAUACCUCUUUAUUGACAUCAAAUGUAAACAUCUCGUGUGUUGAGACUGAAGACUAUCUUUCUGCCCUGUCAAAAAAGAUAAUUCAAAGAUACUCCACCGUUGAGGAUAAACGUAAAAGAGUUAAAUCACUGACUGCCAAGCUUUGUCGUGAUAUAACCGCCGAUGUACUGCUUGAUAGAGGAAAAAAGUUAUUUUUGGAAAGUGCCUUGAAGUGUCUUAAGAAUGAACUAGAAAUGUUGUCUUUUGCCAUAGUACAAAGGAAAGCAAGCGUUGUAAAAUUGGGAAGUAUGUUUUUACAUAUACACGUAUAUUACUACAUAAGAGGAGUGCAUUUGUUAGCAAGAAUCCAUACUGAAGUCAUUGCAAAUUUAAGGCAAAA
Molecule: long non-coding RNA, 811 nt
Organism: Xenia sp. Carnegie-2017
Lineage: Eukaryota; Metazoa; Cnidaria; Anthozoa; Malacalcyonacea; Xeniidae
Exons: 3
Source: RefSeq, a predicted model, not a curated record